AGACAAUUUGUAAGAUAUGAAAGAUCCAGGGGCUUCAGAAAGUUGGAAGGUCAAUGAACUGUAAUUGUUUUCUUUUUCAGAAUCUUCUUAGCUGUUCUUGGAAGGCACUCAAAUAUACCAGUCUAGAGUGUCAGUUUGGAAACCAGCUCACCUCCAUCAUUUCCAGAUGCUUGACACUGUAUAUCUGUCUUCAGAAGUGGUCAGAAAAUCAGUAUCUGCCAACAGUUAGAUAUGGCAUGAUGAUGGAGCAAUGAAAAUAGCAACAAUAUGAGAAAAAAGGUAAUAUUUUACUCAUUUUGAAAAGU
Molecule: long non-coding RNA, 305 nt
Filed under: Callithrix jacchus (white-tufted-ear marmoset)
Lineage: Eukaryota; Metazoa; Chordata; Mammalia; Primates; Cebidae
Description: lncRNA (ENSCJAG00000077789.1)
Source: RNAcentral